UAGACACCUGAUGCUGUGUGAUUAUUGUACAUAACACAACGAUGCAAUGUCACCAAAAUCUCACGUUUCUUACCUAAUGUAGACACCUGGUGCUGUGUGAUUAUUGUCCAUAACACAACGAUGCAAUGUCACCAAAAUCUCACGUUUCUUACCUAAUGUAGACACCUGGUGCUGUGUGAUUAUUGUCCAUAACACAACGAUGCAAUAUCACCAAAAUCUCACGUUUCUUACCUAAUGUAGACACCUGGAGCUGUGUGAUUAUUGUCCAUAACACAACGAUGGGGGUUGGUCAGUUCGGGGGUGGAGUGUGGGGAGAGCAGAAUGAUAGUGGGUGGGGGAUACUGAUGGGGUUUCUUUUAGAUACGCACAUUCUGCUUUGGGAUCUUUUUUCACAUUGCAAAAUACCGAGUGGCACCAUUCAUACCGAGUUACACUGUUGCUAGCACUUUACGUUUGUCACCCAAUGUAGAUGAAGAUACUGUUCUAGUUUUUAGUCUGAUGUUGAAAAUGUAAGAAAGUCAGCUGACUUAAAUAAUAAUCAAUGUAGAAUACCAUCAUAGAAUAAUUUUUGGAAUAAAAUAUAUUAAAAUUC
Long non-coding RNA from Haliotis rubra (blacklip abalone), 592 nucleotides. RefSeq lists it as uncharacterized. The transcript is spliced from 2 exons. NCBI's taxonomy places the organism in Eukaryota, Metazoa, Mollusca, Gastropoda, Lepetellida, Haliotidae. The record is from RefSeq and is a predicted model, not a curated record.